UACGGGGGGGGCAAGCGUUGUUCGGAAUUACUGGGCGUAAAGCGUGCGCAGGCGGCUUUGCAAGACAGAUGUGAAAUCCCCGGGCUUAACCUGGGAACUGCAUUUGUGACUGCAUGGCUGGAGUGCGGCAGAGGGGGAUGGAAUUCCGCGUGUAGCAGUGAAAUGCGUAGAGAUCAUGAGGAAGACCAGUGGCGAAGGCGGGUCUCUGGACAGUUCCUGACACUGAGACACGAAGGCCAGGGGAGCAAACGGG
RNAcentral lists this ribosomal RNA (253 nucleotides) under uncultured bacterium. RNAcentral's name for it is "partial 16S ribosomal RNA". It matches the Rfam family "Bacterial small subunit ribosomal RNA", at positions 524 to 776 of the family's 1533-position model. The record is from RNAcentral.